Molecule: long non-coding RNA, 1098 nt
Filed under: Zostera marina
Lineage: Eukaryota; Viridiplantae; Streptophyta; Magnoliopsida; Alismatales; Zosteraceae
Description: long non-coding RNA (ZMAR_LNC003205)
Source: RNAcentral
ACUUCUGUCGCUUCGGCCAGAAGUCGUCAAACUCGGGGGGGAGUAUCACAAACUCGUCCAGGCACUUCUGUCGCUUCGGUUAGAAGUCGUCAAACUCGGGGGGGAGUAUCAUAAACUCUUCCCGACACUUCUGUCGCUUUGGCCAGAAGAUGUCAAACCUUGAGCACGAUAGAUCUGUCGCUUCGGCCAGAUCAAUCGAGGAUUUAUUGAGCAUGGGAAGGAGCGGCACGAGGAGCAGCCCCCCACAGCAAGGUCAGUAAGUCGAUAAUAAAUAUAUCCUUUAGACUGAUAUAGUUGUUUUGCGGGUUAUUUUUGUUUUGCAGGAACGAUCCUGUCGCUUCGGCCAGGAUCCACGCAUUCUGUCGCUUCGGCCAGAAUCAGACUCUAAACGAGUCGGUCCAUUUUGUCGCUAUGGCCUCAAUGGACCAAAGAAUUAUUUUGUCGCUUUGGCCUCAAUAAUUCUUCUAUCUUGUCGCUUUGGCCUUGAUAGACUUGGAGAUCAUUUUGUCGCCUUGGCCUUAAUGAUCUCGACCCACUUUGUCGCUUUGGCCUUAGUGGGGUAACCGUCGUUGCGGACAUAAAGUCGCUCUUGAUCAGGGUGGACUAUAAACAUGGGUUCUGAUAGUGAACCAGAUCCUGUCGCUUUGGCCAGGAUCCACGCAUUCUGUCGCUUGGGCCAGAAUCAGACUCUGAUAGUGAGUCACUCCAUUUUGUCGCUUUGGCCUUAAUGGAUGGGAGUUAUUUUGUCGCUUUGGCCUUAAUAAUCUCCCUUCAUCUUGUCGCUUUGGCCUUGAUGAUAACACAGAAAGAGUCGCUCCUGAUCAGAGUCGGACUAUAAACACGUAGUUCUAUUGGCCUGGGACUAGAUUCUAAUAGUGAAUCAACCCAUCUGAUAGUGCAUGGGUAACGGAGUCAUUGUGUCGCUGUGGCCACAUUGACUCGAUCCCAUCUUGUCGCUUUGGCCUUGAUGCGGAUCACCUUGCUCGGGGGGGGGAGACUGAGGCUACACGGGUGUUUUGCCAUGCUCUCUUCAGGGGGGAGUACUGGUGAGACAUGCCUGAACACGUCAGUCACUCCCAGCAACGCCCUUCGACAAGG